This 242-nucleotide long non-coding RNA is filed under the name Carica papaya (papaya). Its description in RNAcentral is "long non-coding RNA (CPAP_LNC010457)". The record is from RNAcentral. Lineage: Eukaryota; Viridiplantae; Streptophyta; Magnoliopsida; Brassicales; Caricaceae.
UGACGGGGCUCUCCGUUGCAGCGGCUCUUCCGGCUCACAUUGCUAUUGGGUGUUUUUCUUCGGUUAACCUGUAAAGAAGGAAAUGAUAAUCACAAUGGUGGAAGAAUUAUGCAGAACGGGAAUCGGGAAGGGCCUCAUCGGAGGCAUUUUGUGAAAUUCCACACAGCGCUGUCGUCGGGCUUUGCCCGCAAUUUUCGGCCAAUCCGCUAAUUUUUUGUCUCCGAUUUUGCCAUAAGAGUGUU